This 473-nucleotide long non-coding RNA is filed under the name Homo sapiens (human). RNAcentral's name for it is "non-protein coding lnc-FBXO10-1:1". Lineage: Eukaryota; Metazoa; Chordata; Mammalia; Primates; Hominidae. The record is from RNAcentral.
AUGACAAACACAAAGGGAAAGAGGAGAGGCACCCAAUAUAUGUUCUCUAGACCUUUUAGAAAACAUGGAGUUGUUCCUUUGGCCACAUAUAUGUGAAUCUAUAAGAAAGGUGAUAUCGUAGACAUCAAGGGAAUGGGUACUGUUCAAAAAGGAAUGCCCCUCAAGUGUUACCAUGGCUAAACUGGAAGCGUCUACAGUUUAGCAUGCUGCUGGCAUUGUUGUAAACAAACAAGGGCAAGAUUCUUGCCAAGAGAAUUAGUGUGCGUAUUGAGCACAUUAAGCACUCUAAGAGCCGAGAAAGCUUCAUGAAACGGGUGAAGAAAGAUGAUUAGAAAAAGACAGAAGCAAAAGAGAAAGGUACCUGGGUUCAACUGAAGCGCCAGCCUGCUCCACCCAGAGAAGCACACUUGGUGAGAACCAAUGGGAAGCAGCCUGAGCUGCUGGAACCUAUUCCCUAUGAAUUCAUGGCGUGA